RNAcentral lists this ribosomal RNA (253 nucleotides) under uncultured bacterium. RNAcentral describes it as "partial 16S ribosomal RNA". It matches the Rfam family "Bacterial small subunit ribosomal RNA", at positions 524 to 776 of the family's 1533-position model. The record is from RNAcentral.
UACGGAGGGAGCUAGCGUUAUUCGGAAUCACUGGGCGUAAAGGGUGUGUAGGCUGUGCGUUAAGUCAGAUGUGAAAGCCCAGGGCUCAACCUUGGAACUGCAUCCGAUACUGGCGUGCUAGAGAAUUGGAGAGGAGUCUAGAAUUCACGGUGUAGCAGUGAAAUGCGUAGAUAUCGUGAGGAAUACCAAGUGCGAAGGCAGGACUCUGGACAUUUUCUGACGCUGAGACACGAAGGCUAGGGGAGCAAACGGG